CCCCCUGGGAGGCAAGAGGGCCGCGCCGGACCUCGACGUGCGCAAGGCCUCCCCUGCGGCCCCGGGGGCAAAGGCCGCUGCUUCGGGCCCAAUAUCUGCUGCGCGGAAGAGCUGGGCUGCUUCGUGGGCACCGCCGAAGCGCUGCGCUGCCAGGAGGAGAACUACCUGCCGUCGCCCUGCCAGUCCGGCCAGAAGGCGUGCGGGAGCGGGGGCCGCUGCGCGGUCUUGGGCCUCUGCUGCAGCCCGGGUGAGCGG
RNAcentral lists this long non-coding RNA (255 nucleotides) under Homo sapiens (human). Its description in RNAcentral is "HSALNT0263561". Lineage: Eukaryota; Metazoa; Chordata; Mammalia; Primates; Hominidae. The record is from RNAcentral.